This 851-nucleotide ribosomal RNA is filed under the name uncultured fungus. Its description in RNAcentral is "eukaryotic LSU rRNA". The stretch from base 1 to 241 matches the Rfam family "Eukaryotic small subunit ribosomal RNA", at positions 1593 to 1831 of the family's 1831-position model. The record is from RNAcentral. Lineage: Eukaryota; Fungi.
UUGCUCUUCAACGAGGAAUACCUAGUAAGCGUGAGUCAUCAGCUCGCGUUGAUUACGUCCCUGCCCUUUGUACACACCGCCCGUCGCUACUACCGAUUGAAUGGCUUAGUGAGGUCUUGAGAUUGGCGACAGGGAGCCGGCAACGGCACCCUGUUGCUGAGAACUUGAUCAAACUUGGUCAUUUAGAGGAAGUAAAAGUCGUAACAAGGUUUCCGUAGGUGAACCUGCGGAAGGAUCAUUAUCGAGUUUUGAACGGGUUGUAGCUGGCCUUUAACGAGGCAUGUGCACACCUGGCUCAUCCACUCUCAACCUCUGUGCACUUUAUGUAAGAAACGGUGUAAGCCAGCUAUUUAAUAGUUGGUAACAAGCCUUUCUUAUGUUUACUACAAACGCUUCAGUUAUAGAAUGUUUACUGUGUAUAACACAAUUAUAUACAACUUUCAGCAACGGAUCUCUUGGCUCUCGCAUCGAUGAAGAACGCAGCGAAAUGCGAUAAGUAAUGUGAAUUGCAGAAUUCAGUGAAUCAUCGAAUCUUUGAACGCACCUUGCACUCCUUGGUAUUCCGAGGAGUAUGCCUGUUUGAGUCUCAUGGAAUUCUCAACCCCUAAAUUUUGUAAUGAAGUUUAGUGGGCUUGGACUUGGAGGUUGUGUCGGCUUCUAGUCGACUCCUCUGAAAUGCAUUAGCGUGAAUCUUACGGAUCGCCUUCAGUGUGAUAAUUAUCUGCGCUGUGGUGUUGAAGUAUUUAUUAGUUCAUGCUUAUAGUCGUCUCUUACCGAGACAAUUUAUGACAAUCUGAGCUCAAAUCAGGUAGGACUACCCGCUGAACUUAAGCAUAUCAAUAAGCGGAGGA